This 176-nucleotide ribosomal RNA is filed under the name Paraburkholderia sp. HC6.4b. RNAcentral's name for it is "partial 16S ribosomal RNA". It matches the Rfam family "Bacterial small subunit ribosomal RNA", at positions 1 to 176 of the family's 1533-position model. The record is from RNAcentral. RNAcentral also lists the same sequence under 1 other name. Lineage: Bacteria; Pseudomonadati; Pseudomonadota; Betaproteobacteria; Burkholderiales; Burkholderiaceae.
GAACUGAAGAGUUUGAUCCUGGCUCAGAUUGAACGCUGGCGGCAUGCCUUACACAUGCAAGUCGAACGGCAGCACGGACUUCGGUCUGGUGGCGAGUGGCGAACGGGUGAGUAAUACAUCGGAACGUGUCCUGGAGUGGGGGAUAGCCCGGCGAAAGCCGGAUUAAUACCGCAUAC